UAUUGGGCAAUGGGCGCAAGCCUGACCCAGCAACGCCGCGUGAAGGAAGAAGGCUUUCGGGUUGUAAACUUCUUUUGACAGGGAAGAGUAGAAGACGGUACCUGUCGAAUAAGCCACGGCUAACUACGUGCC
RNAcentral lists this ribosomal RNA (132 nucleotides) under uncultured bacterium. RNAcentral describes it as "partial 16S ribosomal RNA". It matches the Rfam family "Bacterial small subunit ribosomal RNA", at positions 362 to 509 of the family's 1533-position model. The record is from RNAcentral.